Molecule: ribosomal RNA, 2676 nt
Filed under: human gut metagenome
Description: bacterial LSU rRNA
Rfam family: Bacterial large subunit ribosomal RNA
Source: RNAcentral
CCAUGCUGUAUAUGGGCGUGAUGAUGGCCGCGUUUGUGGUAACAGCGGUCAUUCUCAUCCAGCGUUUUUACAAAAACCUGCUCGGCAGUGAGGGUUACCUCAUGUUCACGCUGCCGGUCACGGUUUCGCAGCACCUGCUCAGCAAGACCAUUAUCGCGGUCGUGAUGAUUGGUUUGAGCGGUCUGUCGGCACUCAUCAGCAUCUUCAUUUUUGCGGAUAGGAUGAUUCUGUCGAUGGAUGAGGUGUGGCAGGCUUUUACCGGUCUGAGCACUCUGCUGCCGCACAGCGGUCAGGAGUUCCUGUUUGAACUGGAGCUGCUCGUGCUGGCUGUCCUCGGCAUUGCGGGCAUGGCGCUGUUCCUCUAUAUGUGCAUUGCGCUCGGUCAUCUGGCAAGCCGUCACCGCCUGCUCAUGUCGAUCGUGUGGUACGUUGUUCUUUCUACCGCACUGCAGGUUCUCCUGCUUAUGGUGAUGAUGGGUGCGGGCAAUGCCGUGACAUGCGAGGUUAAGGAGUACAGCUCCGGAGCCGAAGGGAAACCAAGUCUUAACUGGGCGUCUAGUAUGUUAAUGCAGACCCGAAACCGGGUGACCUAUCCAUGGGCAGGUUGAAGUUACCGUAAAAGGUAAUGGAGGACCGAACUCACAUCUGUUGAAAAAGGUGGAGAUGACCUGUGGAUAGCGGAGAAAUUCCAAUCGAACUCGGAGAUAGCUGGUUCUCCUCGAAAUAGCUUUAGGGCUAGCCUUGAGGUAAAGUCUAAUGGAGGUAAAGCACUGAUUGGACGCGGGUCCCCAAAAGGAUACCAACUUCUAUCAAACUCAGAAUGCCAUAUAGAUAUACUCAGGAGUCAGACUAUGUGAGAUAAGUUUCAUAGUCAAAAGGGAAAGAGCCCAGACCGACAGCUAAGGUCCCAAAGUGUGUGUUAAGUGGAAAAGGAUGUUAGGUUUCUAAGACAACUAGGAUGUUGGCUCAGAAGCAGCCACUCAUUUAAAGAGUGCGUAACAGCUCACUAGUCGAGAGGUCUAGCGCCGAAAAUGUCCGGGGCUAAAACACACCACCGAAGCUACGGAAUUACCUAUGGUAAUUGGUAGAGGAGCAUUCUGUAAGGAUGAAGCACAAUUGAAAGAGAGUGUGGACGAAACAGAAGAGAGAAUGCCGGAAUGAGUAGCGAGAUAUAUGUGAGAAUCAUAUAGGUCGAAUGUCUAAGGUUUCCUGGGUAAAGCUGAUCUGCUCAGGGUAAGUCGGGACCUAAGGUGAGGGCGAGAGCCGUAAUCGAUGGACAACAGGUAGAAAUUCCUGUACUACGUAUAAUCAGAACUGUGGGGACGCAGGAGGAUAGGAAAACCGGAGAAUGGAAAAAUCCGGCUAAGUACAAAGGUGUGAGUGAUAGGCAAAUCCGUCACUAUUAGCUGAAGUACGAAUGGGAGCGAAGAAAAGUAGCGAAGUUUCUGAAUCCACACUGUCAAGAAAAGCCGCUAUUGCGUUAUACGUACCCGUACCGCAAACCGACACAGGUAGACGAGGAGAAAAUCCACAGACCGACGGGAGAAGUGUUGUUAAGGAACUCGGCAAAAUGACCCCGUAACUUAGGGAUAAGGGGAGCCAACGCAAGUUGGUCACAGAAAAGAGGCUCAAGCGACUGUUUAGCAAAAACAUAGGUCUAUGCGAAACCGUAAGGUGAUGUAUAUGGGCUGACACCUGCCCGGUGCUGGAAGGUCAAAAGGAGAGGUUAGCGUAAGCGAAGCUUUGAAUUCAAGCCCCAGUAAACGGCGGCCGUAACUAUAACGGUCCUAAGGUAGCGAAAUUCCUUGUCAGGUAAGUUCUGACCCGCACGAAAGGUGUAACGAUUUGAGCACUGUCUCGACAACACGCCCGGUGAAAUUGAAGAACCAGUGAAGAUACUGGUUACCCGCAACAGGACGGAAAGACCCCAUGGAGCUUUACUGCAGCUUAAUAUUGGGAUUCGGUAUUGUAUGUACAGGAUAGGAGGGAGACUAAGAAGCUAGCACGCCAGUGUUGGUGGAGUCGAUGGUGGGAUACCUCUCUUAUAAUACUGAAUUUCUAACCUACUUCCGUAAUCCGGAAGAGGGACAUUGUUAGGCGGGCAGUUUGACUGGGGCGGUCGCCUCCGAAAGAGUAACGGAGGCGCUCAAAGGUCUUCUCAGAAUGAUUGGAAACCAUUCAAAGAGUGUAAAGGCAAAAGAAGGCUUGACUGCGAGAGUGACAACUCGAGCAGGUACGAAAGUAGGACUUAGUGAUCCGGUGGUAACAAGUGGGAGUGCCAUCGCUUAACGGAUAAAAGCUACCCUGGGGAUAACAGGCUUAUCUCCCCCAAGAGUUCACAUCGACGGGGAGGUUUGGCACCUCGAUGUCGGCUCAUCGCAUCCUGGGGCUGUAGUAGGUCCCAAGGGUUGGGCUGUUCGCCCAUUAAAGCGGUACGCGAGCUGGGUUCAGAACGUCGUGAGACAGUUCGGUCCCUAUCCGUUGUGGGCGUAGGAAAUUUGAUAGGAGCUGUCCUUAGUACGAGAGGACCGGGAUGGACGAACCUCUGGUGAAUCUGUUGGUAACCAAUGCCACAGCAGAAUAGCCAAGUUUGGAACGGAUAAACGCUGAAGGCAUCUAAGCGUGAAGCCAACCUAAAGACUAGAUUUCCCAUGCGAAAGCAGUAAGACUCCUUGU